AUUGAACGCUGGCGGCAGGCUUAACACAUGCAAGUCGAGCGGUAGCACAGGGGAGCUUGCUCCCUGGGUGACGAGCGGCGGACGGGUGAGUAAUGUCUGGGAAACUGCCUGAUGGAGGGGGAUAACUACUGGAAACGGUAGCUAAUACCGCAUAACGUCGCAAGACUAAAGAGGGGGACCUUCGGGCCUCUUGCCAUCAGAUGUGCCCAGAUGGGAUUAGCUAGUAGGUGGGGUAAUGGCUCACCUAGGCGACGAUCCCUAGCUGGUCUGAGAGGAUGACCAGCCACACUGGAACUGAGACACGGUCCAGACUCCUACGGGAGGCAGCAGUGGGGAAUAUUGCACAAUGGGCGCAAGCCUGAUGCAGCCAUGCCGCGUGUGUGAAGAAGGCCUUCGGGUUGUAAAGCACUUUCAGCGAGGAGGAAGGUGGUGAGCUUAAUACGUUCAUCAAUUGACGUUACUCGCAGAAGAAGCACCGGCUAACUCCGUG
Molecule: ribosomal RNA, 490 nt
Filed under: uncultured bacterium
Lineage: Bacteria
Description: partial 16S ribosomal RNA
Rfam family: Bacterial small subunit ribosomal RNA
Source: RNAcentral